This 497-nucleotide ribosomal RNA is filed under the name uncultured bacterium. Its description in RNAcentral is "partial 16S ribosomal RNA". It matches the Rfam family "Bacterial small subunit ribosomal RNA", at positions 28 to 507 of the family's 1533-position model. The record is from RNAcentral.
GACGAACGCUGGCGGCGUGCCUAAUACAUGCAAGUUGAGCGCUGAAGGUUGGUACUUGUACCAACUGGAUGAGCAGCGAACGGGUGAGUAACGCGUGGGGAAUCUGCCUUUGAGCGGGGGACAACAUUUGGAAACGAAUGCUAAUACCGCAUAAAAACUUUAAACACAAGUUUUAAGUUUGAAAGAUGCAAUUGCAUCACUCAAAGAUGAUCCCGCGUUGUAUUAGCUAGUUGGUGAGGUAAAGGCUCACCAAGGCGAUGAUACAUAGCCGACCUGAGAGGGUGAUCGGCCACAUUGGGACUGAGACACGGCCCAAACUCCUACGGGAGGCAGCAAUAGGGAAUCUUCGGCAAUGGACGAAAGUCUGACCGAGCAACGCCGCGUGAGGGAAGAAGGUUGUCGGAUCGUAAAACUCUGUUGGUAGAGAAGAACGUUGGUGAGAGUGGAAAGCUCAUCAAGUGACGGUAACUACCCAGAAAGGGACGGCUAACUACGUG